AGUCAUAAGAUAUUAUUAGAUAUGAACGAUGGACAGUGUCAAGGUGGCAAAGAUAAUUAAUCCACCACAUUUCCUCCUCUUGAGUAGACAAUACUCAAAACCAGAAAUAGAAAAGGAAUAAUUAUUAAUUGUCUGCUCCAUAAGUGCAAAAAACAUCAAGUACAAGGAAAUAGUGCAAAUCAAAAUAACGACCAUAAAACAUUCAUUUCAAUAAAGCCAAAAACACAACAUGAAUAAAUCUUAAAGACAAAUAGAGCAUCAUUACACAUCAGAGAAAAAAAAUCGUUAGACAAGGUAUCUUAAACAAGUUCUGCCUCCCGGCGAAUACUUGAUGGAGCGCUCCACCUAUGUACCAUCAGAAUCUUAUCUCGGAUAGUGUGUUAAUUAAUAACAAGUUGUCAGGAAAUGAACCUUAAGUAAAGCAAAUUAGGACAAGACAGAACAACAAGAUG
This is a long non-coding RNA of Austrofundulus limnaeus, 452 nucleotides long. RefSeq lists it as uncharacterized. The transcript is spliced from 2 exons. The record is from RefSeq and is a predicted model, not a curated record. NCBI's taxonomy places the organism in Eukaryota, Metazoa, Chordata, Actinopteri, Cyprinodontiformes, Rivulidae.